GACAGAGUGAGACCCCGUCUCAAAAAAAAGGACACCGCAGCUCUGCAGGCCUGUUUUGCACCAAUUUUGUUCAUGAGGAGACACAAACAUUCAGAACAUCGCCUUUAUUUUAUUUUGUUUUAAAUUAAUACUCUAUUUUUUAGAGCAGUUUUAGGUUCACAGCAAAAUUCGGAGGAAAGGACAGAGAUUUCCCUUGGCAUCCUGCCCUAACCCACACACAGACUCCCCAGCAAAGCGAUUUGCUGCAGUUGAGGGCCCUCCCUUGACAUGUCAUCAUCUCCCAGAGUCCAGAGUUUACAUUAGGGCUCACUUUUGGUGUUUGCAUUCUGUGGGUUUUGACAAAUGUCUAAUGACCUGGAUUCAUCAGUACCAUAUCAUGCAGGAUAGUUUCACGGCCCUAAAAAUCCUCUGGGCUCCAGCUGUUCAUCUCCCCUCCUCUACCCCUUUCCUUGUAACCACUGAGCCUUUUACUGCCUCCAUGAUUUUGUCUUUCCUGAAUGUCAUAGAGUUGGAAUCACACAGCAUGCAGUCUUUUCAGGUUGGCUUCUUUCUCUUAGUAAUAUGCACUUAAGAUUCCUCCACAUCUUUUCAUGGCUUGAUAGCUCAUUUCUUUUUAGCUCUGAGAAAACCAGCUAUAAACAACUUGGCACUGAAUAGAGAAAAAAGUUCUCCCUGAAAUUUGUAGCCUCAAUCCAGCCCUUACAUGGUUUGCAGUGUGAGUUCACACUACCUAGGUGGUCCAAAGAGCCUCAACUUGAAAAUGCAGUUUAGAGUAGCCAGAGUCUGCAACACCUU
This 795-nucleotide long non-coding RNA is filed under the name Homo sapiens (human). RNAcentral describes it as "non-protein coding lnc-COL5A1-4:1". Lineage: Eukaryota; Metazoa; Chordata; Mammalia; Primates; Hominidae. The record is from RNAcentral.